GAGAGAUCACAUGUACCAGCUGAUGCGCAGAUUCUUCCCCACUGAAAUGGACAUUUCUGCCAAAGUCAAUGAGUAAAACUGACAGUGCGGAUGACUAACCUCCAGCCCAGAGCCUUUGGCAGCUCACACCUUUGUGCAAAGCACAAUCCAGAAGUUCCCUUUGGUUCUUUAUCAGCAUCUAUUUCUCUGAUGAGCUUGGUGAACUGCAUCAGCUAUAGGUACACUCCUUAAUGUCCUAGAACAAUACUAAAAUUUAAUUUAAAUUGAUUUUUCUCAAACAAUGAAUGUCCUGUAUAAAAUAUCUGACAAAGAAAAUAUGUGUUUUUCUUGUAUAAUACAUGCAUGUUUUGGAGACAU
Molecule: long non-coding RNA, 357 nt
Filed under: Mus pahari (shrew mouse)
Lineage: Eukaryota; Metazoa; Chordata; Mammalia; Rodentia; Muridae
Description: lncRNA (MGP_PahariEiJ_G0004762.1)
Source: RNAcentral